AUGGAGAUUAUAAGGAAAACUCUACAAAAGGAAGUUAGGAGACAACAUGAAUUAUUACAAAUCAAUUUGAAGGUGACUGAUGAGGUGAAGGGGUCCCAGUCUGGUGAGAAAAUCAUAGAAGGGGGAGAAGAGGAGGAAGCUAUUGAUGAUGAAUUGGCAGGGGAAGACAAACAGGAGGGAGGAGAAGGGAUGCCAGUCCUAGAGCUGAUGGAGCAAGCUAUUGGCCUAGGAUAUAUGGAGCCAGUGGAUUACACUGCUAGUCAGGAGACAGACUCUUUUGGGACAAAGGUGAAGAAAGCUAGGAAAGGGGAAAUAGACUUGAAAGAGGAAGAAGAACUGAGAAGAUGUGCCAGACUUAAAGGGAAGGAGAACUGCAACAUUACAGAGUUGGCCAAGGAAAGAGAAGCUAAAAAGGCAAAUAUGGUGAGCUUCCAUCUCCUGGGAUUUUAUCUAGACCCGAUAGUCUCCUUCAGAAAGUUGUUGUGGGGGGAUUAG
Molecule: ribosomal RNA, 495 nt
Filed under: Triticum aestivum (bread wheat)
Lineage: Eukaryota; Viridiplantae; Streptophyta; Magnoliopsida; Poales; Poaceae
Description: partial small subunit ribosomal RNA
Source: RNAcentral